GACGGAGGAUGCAAGCGUUAUCCGGAAUUAUUGGGCGUAAAGCGUCCGCAGGUGGUUCAUCAAGUCUGCUGUCAAAAUGCGAGGCUCAACUUCGUAAAGGCAGUGGAAACUGAUGAACUAGAGCAUGGUAGGGGUAGAGGGAAUUCCCGGUGUAGCGGUGAAAUGCGUAGAUAUCGGGAAGAACACCGGUGGCGAAAGCGCUCUACUGGGCCAUGACUGACACUGAGGGACGAAAGCUAGGGGAGCGAAAGGG
This 253-nucleotide ribosomal RNA is filed under the name uncultured bacterium. RNAcentral describes it as "partial 16S ribosomal RNA". It matches the Rfam family "Bacterial small subunit ribosomal RNA", at positions 524 to 776 of the family's 1533-position model. The record is from RNAcentral.